CGCGGGAUGGAGCAGCCUGGUAGCUCGUCGGGCUCAUAACCCGAAGGUCGUCGGUUCAAAUCCGGCUCCCGCA
RNAcentral lists this transfer RNA (73 nucleotides) under Pseudoalteromonas carrageenovora. RNAcentral describes it as "tRNA-Met". It matches the Rfam family "tRNA". From Rfam's summary of the family: Transfer RNA (tRNA) molecules are approximately 80 nucleotides in length. Their secondary structure includes four short double-helical elements and three loops (D, anti-codon, and T loops). Further hydrogen bonds mediate the characteristic L-shaped molecular structure. tRNAs have two regions of fundamental functional importance: the anti-codon, which is responsible for specific mRNA codon recognition, and the 3' end, to which the tRNAs corresponding amino acid is attached (by aminoacyl-tRNA synthetases). tRNAs cope with the degeneracy of the genetic code in two manners: having more than one tRNA (with a specific anti-codon) for a particular amino acid; and 'wobble' base-pairing, i.e. permitting non-standard base-pairing at the 3rd anti-codon position. RNAcentral also lists the same sequence under 36 other names. The record is from RNAcentral. Lineage: Bacteria; Pseudomonadati; Pseudomonadota; Gammaproteobacteria; Alteromonadales; Pseudoalteromonadaceae.